AUGAACGCAAGUGAAUUCCGAAGGAGAGGGAAGGAGAUGGUGGAUUACAUGGCCAACUACAUGGAAGGCAUUGAGGGACGCCAGGUCUACCCUGACGUGGAGCCCGGGUACCUGCGGCCGCUGAUCCCUGCCGCUGCCCCUCAGGAGCCAGACACGUUUGAGGACAUCAUCAACGACGUUGAGAAGAUAAUCAUGCCUGGGGGAAGUGCCAGUGAAGCCACCCUGGUGGCCCUGCUGGCCGCUCGGACCAAAGUGAUCCAUCGGCUGCAGGCAGCGUCCCCAGAGCUCACACAGGCCGCUAUCAUGGAGAAGCUGGUGGCUUACUCAUCCGAUCAGGCACACUCCUCAGUGGAAAGAGCUGGGUUAAUUGGUGGAGUGAAAUUAAAAGCCAUCCCCUCAGAUGGCAACUUCGCCAUGCGUGCGUCUGCCCUGCAGGAAGCCCUGGAGAGAGACAAAGCGGCUGGCCUGAUUCCUUUCUUUAUGGUUGCCACCCUGGGGACCACAACAUGCUGCUCCUUUGACAAUCUCUUAGAAGUCGGUCCUAUCUUUUGCAGAUUCAUUCAACUUUAAUCCCCACAAAUGGCUAUUGGUGAAUUUUGACUGUUCUGCCAUGUGGGUGAAAAAGAGAACAGACUUAACGGGAGCCUUUAGACUGGACCCCACUUACCUGAAGCACAGCCAUCAGGAUUCAGGGCUUAUCACUGACUACCGGCAUUGGCAGAUACCACUGGGCAGAAGAUUUCGCUCUUUGAAAAUGUGGUUUGUAUUUAGGAUGUAUGGAGUCAAAGGACUGCAGGCUUAUAUCCGCAAGCAUGUCCAGCUGUCCCAUGAGUUUGAGUCACUGGUGCGCCAGGAUCCCCGCUUUGAAAUCUGUGUGGAAGUCAUUCUGGGGCUUGUCUGCUUUCGGCUAAAGGGUUCCAACAAAGUGAAUGAAGCUCUUCUGCAAAGAAUAAACAGUGCCAAAAAAAUCCACUUGGUUCCAUGUCACCUCAGGGACAAGUUUGUCCUGCGCUUUGCCAUCUGUUCUCGCACGGUGGAAUCUGCCCAUGUGCAGCGGGCCUGGGAACACAUCAAAGAGCUGGCGGCCGACGUGCUGCGAGCAGAGAGGGAGUAGGAGUGAAGCCAGCUGCAGGAAUCAAAAAUUGAAGAGAGAUAUAUCUGAAAACUGGAAUAAGAAGCAAAUAAAUAUCAUCCUGCCUUCAUGGAACUCAGCUGUCUGUGGCUUCCCAUGUCUUUCUCCAAAGUUAUCCAGAGGGUUGUGAUUUUGUCUGCUUAGUAUCUCAUCAACAAAGAAAUAUUAUUUGCUAAUUAAAAAGUUAAUCUUCAUGGCCAUAGCUUUUAUUCAUUAGCUGUGAUUUUUGUUGAUUAAAACAUUAUAGAUUUUCAUGUUCUUGCAGUCAUCAGAAGUGGUAGGAAAGCCUCACUGAUAUAUUUUCCAGGGCAAUCAAUGUUCACGCAACUUGAAAUUAUAUCUGUGGUCUUCAAAUUGUCUUUUGUCAUGUGGCUAAAUGCCUAAUAAACAAUUCAAGUGAAAUACUAA
Molecule: unclassified non-coding RNA, 1540 nt
Filed under: Homo sapiens (human)
Lineage: Eukaryota; Metazoa; Chordata; Mammalia; Primates; Hominidae
Description: aromatic-L-amino-acid decarboxylase transcript variant 18
Source: RNAcentral